RNAcentral lists this ribosomal RNA (486 nucleotides) under uncultured bacterium. RNAcentral's name for it is "partial 16S ribosomal RNA". It matches the Rfam family "Bacterial small subunit ribosomal RNA", at positions 29 to 507 of the family's 1533-position model. The record is from RNAcentral.
AUUGAACGCUGGCGGCAUGCUUUACACAUGCCAGUCGAGCGGCAGCGCGGGGGCAACCCUGGCGGCGAGCGGCGAACGGGUGAGUAAUGCAUCGGAACGUAUCCUCGAGUGGGGGAUAACCCAGCGAAAGUUGGGCUAAUACCGCAUGAGCUCUGAGGAGGAAAGCGGGGGACCUGCGAGGGCCUCGCGCUGGAGGAGCGGCCGAUGUCCGAUUAGCUAGUUGGUGGGGUAAAGGCUUACCAAGGCGACGAUCGGUAGCUGGUCUGAGAGGAUGAUCAGCCACACUGGGACUGAGACACGGCCCAGACUCCUACGGGAGGCAGCAGUGGGGAAUUUUGGACAAUGGGGGCAACCCUGAUCCAGCCAUGCCGCGUGAGUGAGGAAGGCCUUCGGGUUGUAAAGCUCUUUCGGACGGAACGAAAUGGGCGGGACUAAUACUCCUGUCUGAUGACGGUACCGUAAGAAGAAGCACCGGCUAACUACGUG